UAAUACGUAGGGGGCAAGCGUUGUCCGGAUUUAUUGGGCGUAAAGAGCGUGUAGGCGGCCACACAGGUCAGCUGUGAAAACUCGAGGCUCAACCUCGAGACGUCGGUUGAAACCGUAUGGCUAGAGUCCGGAAGAGGAGAGUGGAAUUCCCGGUGUAGCGGUGAAAUGCGCAGAUAUCGGGAAGAACACCUAUGGCGAAGGCAGCUCUCUGGGACGGUACUGACGCUGAGACGCGAAAGCGUGGGGAGCGAACAGGAUUAGAUACCCUGGUAGUCCACGCCGUAAACGAUGGGCACUAGGUGUGGCGGGUGUCGACUCCCGCUGUGCCGAAGCUAACGCAUUAAGUGCCCCGCCUGGGGAGUACGGCCGCAAGGCUA
This 377-nucleotide ribosomal RNA is filed under the name uncultured bacterium. Its description in RNAcentral is "bacterial SSU rRNA". It matches the Rfam family "Bacterial small subunit ribosomal RNA", at positions 521 to 896 of the family's 1533-position model. The record is from RNAcentral.